RNAcentral lists this long non-coding RNA (3586 nucleotides) under Marmota monax (woodchuck). The record is from RNAcentral. Lineage: Eukaryota; Metazoa; Chordata; Mammalia; Rodentia; Sciuridae.
AAGGACACUUCAGGGACGGUGACCUCUGGAUCUGCAGAGAAAUUUUCAGAAAGGACAGAUGCUGCUGCCUGACGUUGCAGAGGGCUAACCAAAGGCACUCGUUUAAAUGCAUGUCACAGGCAGAAGAAAUGGACAACAGACAUAGAGGACAGGGACACAGAGGUGGGCGUUCACCAUGCAGCUUGGGGUGCCGGGCAGGGGACCCGCUGUGCACGGAGACCCACCUUCUCCUGCUCCCUCCCUCCCUCUCUUCCUCGUCCUUCUGUCACAACUUGACUGAGAAAUAACUUAGGUGUCCUAAUAUUUACCAGUCAAAAUCACACAACCCAGGGGUCCUAGCUGCUUAGAAUCGUGCAGCCGCCACUCGAGUCUAUUUCUAGAACCCUCGCCCCCAUUUACAGCUACCCCCAGCCCCAAGGCAACCACUAAUCUCUGUGUCUAUAAACGGGUCGUUUCCGGACGUGUAUGUAAACGGGACCAUACGAUGUGUGGCCUUCUGCAUGUGGCUCUCUUACUUUCUGCAGGGCUUUGGAGGGCCGUCUGGGCCGUGGCAUUUACCGGUGCUUCAUUGUGACUUAACACCCAGCAGCACUCCAUGGCCCGGGUACACUGUGCCUGGUUCACCUGCUCACCACCUGGGGGAUAUCUGGGGGUGGGGGGGUUCACUUAGUGGCUAUCACGAACCUGCACCUGUGAGUCUUAGGUGACUCUGUUCUCAUUGCUUUCGGUUAAAUACCUAGGGUAGGGUCCUUGGGCGCUGUUGUCCGUUUACGUCUAACAUUUCCAGAAGUGCCCAGCUGUUUCUGAGCAGCUGAACCAUCAACUCUUUAGAGUUUCUAAACCUAGGAGUCUUCUUCUUGAUCCACAGCUGAUAGGAUCGAGCAGGACCAUGUGACCCCUAUGGACCCGUAGGUUUUUUUCCCUUCUGAGAUCUUAGAACUGGGACCCACGAGGCAUACAUGUUUGAAUCCGCCGUGUGCCUGAUGGGGUGGCCUUGUGGCCCAGAAGGCAGAGAAAAGCAGACCAUAGAGAGGAGAGAGAAGCUGACCCAGAGACAAGGACAAGGUAGCCACUGGGACAAAGGUUCCAUGCUCCUGGCUCUGGACCCUUGUGAAAUCUAGCACGUGCCUGGUGUGGCUUGGCGUGUGACUUGGUCUUCAACAUUCCAGUGUCUUACAUUCCAUUUCUUCCUGUGAUUCAUGGUCGGUUUUGCCGGCAGUAACUAAGGCCGCCUUGUCUCGCUCAACACAUGUCCUCGGGAGCAACCUGUGGACAGAAGAAAGAAACAGCCUUCUCCCUGAAACUAUAGCAACUCGAGCAUUUAUAAAGCACCUACUGUGUGGGGGACACAGUAGGGUCCUCAAAAAAUUUAGCCGCUUGUAACCGAAGAGACGGAGAAGAACAUCAAGGAGAAUGUGUGCAAUUUUUUUUUGAAACAAAAUAGCUUUUUAAAUAUGUUCAAGUAGAUCAUGUUACAAUUUAAUUUUUUUAAAAAAUAAUAAUGUCAUGAAAAACUGCCAAGAUUAUAGAAUCAGGGCUCAUUAUGUGCUGAAAGGGCUUGAAAUAAAAGACAGCCCUUAAGUACUGAGAAUUCUAAUUAUAUGCCCCUUUAAAGAGCCACAGUCAUCUCUCCUGGUGACUAAUCUCGACUGUCUGUCAAGAACUGGCGACGGAGGAGUCACCCAAGUGCUGGACUGAUGGUCUCAUUCUGGGGUCUGGCUUGUGGCUUCCUCCCCUGGGUUCCCCCAGGAGCCUGUCUGUGUGACAAUCAAGAUGUCAUCAGAGAUUGCCUCUCUGGCUUUCCCCGAGUCUUGCCAGGAAGGGAAAGAGAACAAGAAAGGAAAAACUAGUCUGUAAAAGAAACACCCCGUGACAGGUCAGAGGGAAGGAAACCUGGGAGGCAUCCCUUCACUCAACGGCUACCUGUCCCUCGACCUUUGUUUCUCUAGCAAUAGAAGCUCAGCCCCAGGAGUGCUGGGACCCAGGUGGGCCUGGUCACUGUGGAAUUGUCACUCCCCGGACAGGACUGGCCAUGCUGUGGGGAUGGAGUUACUGCCUGUCGAACGCAUGAAUGGAGCAGAUUAGAGCAUCCCUGGUUCCAUGGGUUCGAAGCUGAGGUCCACGUGAGCUUUGCCAGGAGGCUCCACGUGAGAAAAACUUUCCAGGUCAUAAGCUACAGGACCUCUGACAGAACUGUGACCCAUCCACGGAAGCCUCGCACAUGAGAUGCAAGAUGCAAGCCCCCGUGGAGAAGCAUUCCAUUCACUUGCUGCUGUCAUAAAGGCAUUUGUUGAUCCCGUUUCUGUUAAAUGAGGAUCUGGUGUGGGCCAAGUUCAUGUUUAUAAGACCGAAACGACAAAGUGGGACUUCUUCUCCAGCUAGAGGGAUAGAUGUGCAAAAUGAUCUUGGUCUGGAGAGUUACUAGAUGGUAUCCCAGGGCUACCGAAUAGAAACCUGGAAGGCAAGCCAUGCUUGAAAUUUAAAAUUCCCCAGUAGUCACAUUUUAAAAAAGCAGAAAGAAACAGAUGAAAUUCAUCUGAAUAGCAUGUUUUAUUUGAGCUGUAUAUCCAAAGUGUGAUCAUGAAUAAGACAAUCAACCUGCAAAUCAUGAAUAAGACAAUUUGCACUGCCUCUUCAUCCUAAGCCUUUGACGGCUGAUGUCUAUUUUCCACUAACAACACAUCUCAUUUGGACACAAAGUUUUCAUUGAAAUUUUUUUUUUACUUUUAUUAUUUUUUUUUAAACUGGGGAUUGAACCCCGGAGUGCUUACCCACUGAGCCACGCCCCCAGCCUUUUUUAUUUUGUAUUUUGAGACAGGAUCUAAGUUGCUGAGGCUGGCCUCCUCAGCCUCCCGAAUUAUUGGGAUCACAGGCACGUGUCACCGUGCCUAGCUGGAAAUUCUUGAUCUAUCCUUAGAAUUUAUCAAAUUCAUAAUUUAAAAAAGAGUCAAUUCAAUCUAAAAGUCGUCCUAAACAUACUUUAAAAAUCUUUCAGUUGGGCUGGGGAUGUGGCUCAAGUGGUAGCGUGCUCGCCUGGCAUGCGUGCGGCCCGGGUUCAGUCCUCAGCACCACAUACAAACAAAGAUGUUGUGUUUGCCGAGAACUGAAAAAUAAAUAUUAAAAAAAAAAUUCUCUCUCUCUCUUAAAAAAAAAUCUUUCAGUAGCAGAAUCAUAUUUUUAAACUUGAAUUUGAAUGAAUCAAUAGUAAAUAAAAUGAACAGUUCAGUUUUUGAUUGAUCUGCCCCACACUUCAAGCUCUGUGUGGCCACUGGGCCCAGGGCUACCAUAUUGGACAGCAUAGAUAGGAGACAUCCCCUCCCUGCAGAAGUCUCUGUCACGCGGUGGUUCUCUGGGUUGUUUAGGAGACUGCACUUCCUCUCAGUGUUCUGUUGUAUCCACGAGCCCAGCAAAUAACACAGCGAGAUGUCAGUCAAUGAUGUGGAAGGAGCGAGGGAACAACAGCACUGUCACAGGACAGAGGUCGGAGAAAGGACACUUAUGGGAGGUUCUGACACGUGAGUAGGAGUUUUCUUGGCAAACAGCAAGGUGAAGACCAAGGAAGAGCCUGACACAUACGUGCCGGAUG